GAAAAUGAUCUUUGACAGUGGGACUUUAUAGAAGAAAUGCUUCGGCUCCCCCUUCAGAGCCCUCCAAUAGCUCCAUCUGUUUCAAGUGAUUCUACUCCUCCUGUCUUCAAGAAGAGUCAACCUGCCUGCAGUUAAUGGGAAUUUACAUUUUACUUUGAAGAAAGAAGCUACAAGAUAUAAUUGUACCAUUGUAGCCAUCAUAAAAACAUCAAAAAAAAAAUGUGAGAGAUGUACCAGAUUUCUUCUCUUCAUGCUGUUGAAGAACAAGAGGGUACUCAUUUCAUCCAACUAUAUAGACAGGAAAUAAAGCUUCAAGCAAACUUAAGAAAAGAGAAAAAAAAAUUCAAGCAGAGCCAGAUCAAAUACUUGCAUCCUAGUUAUGCCAAAGGAAUACAAGAGGAUUUUUUUAUUAAUAGUAGGUAUCCUAAGAGUACUAAGAAAUCACAUUCCUCACAAUUGAUGAUUCCCAGUGAUGGCCAGCUCUGAGUACCUCUAGCAAGUCUUGGUGAGUAUGCCUGCUCAAAGAU
This 527-nucleotide long non-coding RNA is filed under the name Neogale vison (American mink). RNAcentral's name for it is "Neovison vison (American mink) lncRNA (ENSNVIG00000007251.1)". Lineage: Eukaryota; Metazoa; Chordata; Mammalia; Carnivora; Mustelidae. The record is from RNAcentral.